Molecule: ribosomal RNA, 850 nt
Filed under: Sarocladium strictum
Lineage: Eukaryota; Fungi; Ascomycota; Sordariomycetes; Hypocreales; Sarocladiaceae
Description: partial large subunit ribosomal RNA
Rfam family: Eukaryotic large subunit ribosomal RNA
Source: RNAcentral
GUAACGGCGAGUGAAGCGGCAACAGCUCAAAUUUGAAAUCUGGCCUCACGGUCCGAGUUGUAAUUUGUAGAGGAUGCUUUUGGCGAGGUGCUUUCCGAGUUCCCUGGAACGGGACGCCAUAGAGGGUGAGAGCCCCGUACGGUAAGACCACCGAGCCUCUGUAAAGCUCCUUCGACGAGUCGAGUAGUUUGGGAAUGCUGCUCUAAAUGGGAGGUGUACGUCUUCUAAAGCUAAAUACCGGCCAGAGACCGAUAGCGCACAAGUAGAGUGAUCGAAAGAUGAAAAGCACUUUGAAAAGAGGGUUAAAAAGUACGUGAAAUUGUUGAAAGGGAAGCAUUCAUGACCAGACUUGGGCUUGGUUGAACAUCCGGCGUUCUCGCCGGUGCACUCUGCCAGUCCAGGCCAGCAUCAGUUUGCCCCGGGGGACAAAGGCGGUGGGAAUGUGGCUCUCUUCGGGGAGUGUUAUAGCCCGCCGUGUAAUGCCCUGGGGCGGACUGAGGAACGCGCUUCGGCACGGAUGCUGGCGUAAUGGUCAUCAAUGACCCGUCUUGAAACACGGACCAAGGAGUCGUCUUCGUAUGCGAGUGUUCGGGUGUCAAACCCCUACGCGUAAUGAAAGUGAACGUAGGUGAGAGCUUCGGCGCAUCACCGACCGAUCCUGAUGUUCUCGGAUGGAUUUGAGUAAGAGCAUACGGGGCCGGACCCGAAAGAAGGUGAACUAUGCCUGUAUAGGGUGAAGCCAGAGGAAACUCUGGUGGAGGCUCGCAGCGGUUCUGACGUGCAAAUCGAUCGUCAAAUAUGGGCAUGGGGGCGAAAGACUAAUCGAACCUUCUAGUAGCUGGUUUCCGCC